This is a non-coding RNA of Misgurnus anguillicaudatus (oriental weatherfish), 1084 nucleotides long. Lineage: Eukaryota; Metazoa; Chordata; Actinopteri; Cypriniformes; Cobitidae. The record is from RefSeq and is a predicted model, not a curated record.
AAAAACUGUACUUGACUCUAACUAAGUGCUAUUUUUGCAUUGAUCAUGAUAGGAGCAUUUUUUUUUUUUUUUUGAUGGGCCAUCACACAGUGGAUUUAUAAAAAUGAGAUUACAGAACAUCAGACGGUAGCUUCAACAGAGUUGAAGUGGGAGGACAUCAUCAAUUAAGAAUGCCAUUGACCAAACCUUCAGUCAUCAAAGAAGAUGGAUACAGGGGGACAUCCAGUUUUCCAGACUUACCGAUGGGAAAGAAGAAAUGGGAAUGUGAGAAUUAUUGAGAAACUCAGGGAAAAAGCAUCUUUAGAGAAGAAAAUGGACAUCAGACAUUUAUUGAAGAAAGCUGACAGUCAACAUAAUGAUGAGAGCUGUGUUAUACAAUGUUAAGGAUACUCGUUCAUCUUCUGCUGUGUGAAUUCUGCUGUGUCAGUCCUGUGGGACUUGAUGCCGGCUGGUAGCAGUGUGACGUCUUUGCUUACUAAAUGAUCAAAGGGUGUCUGAAAUCAGCUCAGCCACAGUUGGUUUCCAACGGUUCUUCAGGACAUGGAGGCCACUACGUAACUGUUGCAAUGAACGAUUCUUUUGCCUUUCCACCUGAUGUUGACAAUCUGACCUGUGCGGUACUGAAAACCACUUGCACUGACAUAUCUUAAAAUAUAUCAGUGUCCUUUGUUUUGCCUCAAAAUGCACACCAGUAAUGUUUUUUGUUGAAACCAGUUAUAUUUCCUAAUUAAACUAAGGCCUAGUCCUGGAUUAAGCUAAUCCACUGUCCGGGAAACCGCCCCUAAAUGUUUUGUGACGGAAAUUUCUUUGAAUACACUUGUCAAGUUCAUUUUAAGUAUUUUUCUAAAUGUAAGAUAACAUGUUAAUGUUUCAGGACAAGUUAAAAUUUUUUGAUAAUUUGCAUGUUGGAAACGAUUUCAGACAUUGUUCUAUUCAACAUGUUUAGCACAGUUGCUUUUAAAUUCAAUGAAUUAUUUUAUAAAUAGUGUUUUAAAACGUAUCAAUGUAAUGUAUGUUUGAAGUUAUUAUACUUGCACUUACAUUUAUUUAAAUUAGCAUACAUCUAGCAACAUACGGACUACCG